Long non-coding RNA from Prinia subflava (tawny-flanked prinia), 770 nucleotides. RefSeq lists it as uncharacterized. The transcript has 4 exons. NCBI's taxonomy places the organism in Eukaryota, Metazoa, Chordata, Aves, Passeriformes, Cisticolidae. The record is from RefSeq and is a predicted model, not a curated record.
CCGGCACUCAUUCAUCCACACUGCAGCGCGGAAAGGGCACGGGGUGGCAAAUCCGUGAAGCCAGAAGCACGAUUGCCAAACUUUCCACUCCUUCCACCUUUUAGCAAACGAAAGUGCAUUAAUGUGCACUGGUUACAAGCUGGACAUCACUUAGAGCUUGUUGGCCGCUCUAUUUCACGGAUUAAAUCUCCCUCCUUGUUGAUUAGGCUUGAAAGUUGCAAAGACCAAACAGCAAAGAAAUAUGUCCUUUUAAUGAAAAGGACAUAUUUCACACUUAGCAACAAGAUGACCUGAGAAGCAGGACUGGCACAGAAUGAACAUACUUGGUGACCACCUUGGAAAGACAAUUAUGGUUCUUUUGAAAGACCAUUGAGUAGAGACAUUGCUUCAAUAUUUAUCUUAAAUUCUGCCAAAUUUCUAGGAACCACCAUAUAAGUACUGUUUCAGGCAGCAUCUCCUGCAAAGGGAGAGAUGAAACUGCCACAUUAGAAAGUAAAUACUUACUAUCAGCUCUAUCAACAGCAACAUUUCCACUUCUGCCCUGAGCUGUUGGAGGUUUUCCUAGGAGAGAACUGCAGAUGAACGAUGUAAUGAGAAGUAUCAGCUACUGAAGACAGAAAAUGUUUAUGCUCAUAAUAAUGCCUACAAAUAUAAAUUGUGCUUAUAAUAUUUCUGUAGCUUCUAAUGCUUAUAAGAGAGAAAUUCUAUUCUAAAGACCUGAAGUAAUUAAAAUGAGUAAUAAUGAGGUUCUAAAAGGAAUAUGGAGUAAG